AGAGUUUGAUCCUGGCUCAGGACGAACGCUGGCGGCGUGCCUAAUACAUGCAAGUCGAGCGCGGGAAGCAAGCUGAUCCUCUUCGGAGGUGACGCUUGUGGAACGAGCGGCGGACGGGUGAGUAACACGUGGGCAACCUGCCUGUAAGACUGGGAUAACCCCGGGAAACCGGGGCUAAUACCGGAUAAUACUUUUCAUCACCUGAUGGAAAGUUGAAAGGUGGCUUCUUGCUACCACUUACAGAUGGGCCCGCGGCGCAUUAGCUAGUUGGUGAGGUAACGGCUCACCAAGGCAACGAUGCGUAGCCGACCUGAGAGGGUGAUCGGCCACACUGGGACUGAGACACGGCCCAGACUCCUACGGGAGGCAGCAGUAGGGAAUCUUCCGCAAUGGACGAAAGUCUGACGGAGCAACGCCGCGUGAGUGAUGAAGGUUUUCGGAUCGUAAAGCUCUGUUGUUAGGGAAGAACAAGUGCCGUUCGAAUAGGGCGGCACCUUGACGGUACCUAACCAGAAAGCCCCGGCUAACUACGUGCCAGCAGCCGCGGUAAUACGUAGGGGGCAAGCGUUGUCCGGGAAUUAUUGGGCGUAAAGCGCGCGCAGGCGGUCCUUUAAGUCUGAUGUGAAAGCCCACGGCUUAACCGUGGAGGGUCAUUGGAAACUGGAGGACUUGAGUACAGAAGAGGAGAGUGGAAUUCCACGUGUAGCGGUGAAAUGCGUAGAGAUGUGGAGGAACACCAGUGGCGAAGGCGACUCUCUGGUCUGUAACUGACGCUGAGGCGCGAAAGCGUGGGGAGCGAACAGGAUUAGAUACCCUGGUAGUCCACGCCGUAAACGAUGAGUGCUAGGUGUUAGGGGGUUUCCGCCCCUUAGUGCUGAAGUUAACGCAUUAAGCACUCCGCCUGGGGAGUACGGCCGCAAGGCUGAAACUCAAAAGAAUUGACGGGGGCCCGCACAAGCGGUGGAGCAUGUGGUUUAAUUCGACGCAACGCGAAGAACCUUACCAGGUCUUGACAUCCUCUGCAAUCGGUAGAGAUACCGAGUUCCCUUCGGGGACAGAGUGACAGGUGGUGCAUGGUUGUCGUCAGCUCGUGUCGUGAGAUGUUGGGUUAAGUCCCGCAACGAGCGCAACCCUUGAUCUUAGUUGCCAGCAUUUAGUUGGGCACUCUAAGGUGACUGCCGGUGACAAACCGGAGGAAGGUGGGGAUGACGUCAAAUCAUCAUGCCCCUUAUGACCUGGGCUACACACGUGCUACAAUGGAUGGAACAAAGGGAAGCAAAACCGCGAGGUCAAGCAAAUCCCAUAAAACCAUUCUCAGUUCGGAUUGCAGGCUGCAACUCGCCUGCAUGAAGCCGGAAUCGCUAGUAAUCGCGGAUCAGCAUGCCGCGGUGAAUACGUUCCCGGGCCUUGUACACACCGCCCGUCACACCACGAGAGUUGGUAACACCCGAAGUCGGUGAGGUAACCUUUUGGAGCCAGCCGCCGAAGGUGGGACCAAUGAUUGGGGUGAAGUCGUAACAAGGUAGCCGU
This 1530-nucleotide ribosomal RNA is filed under the name Virgibacillus sp. SKW19. RNAcentral describes it as "bacterial SSU rRNA". It matches the Rfam family "Bacterial small subunit ribosomal RNA". The record is from RNAcentral. Lineage: Bacteria; Bacillati; Bacillota; Bacilli; Caryophanales; Bacillaceae.